RNAcentral lists this ribosomal RNA (991 nucleotides) under Sarcophaga beckiana. RNAcentral's name for it is "eukaryotic LSU rRNA". It matches the Rfam family "Eukaryotic large subunit ribosomal RNA", at positions 104 to 919 of the family's 3401-position model. The record is from RNAcentral. Lineage: Eukaryota; Metazoa; Arthropoda; Insecta; Diptera; Sarcophagidae.
UCAGUUCAGCACUAAGUCACUUUGUCUUUAUGGCAAAUGUGAGAUGCAGUGUAUGGAAUGUCAAAUUUCUAGUAUGAGAAAUUAACGAUUUAAGUCCUUCUUAAAUGAGGCCAUUUACCCAUAGAGGGUGCCAGGCCCGUAUAACGUUAAUGAUUACUAGAUGGCAUUUCCAAAGAGUCGUGUUGCUUGAUAGUGCAGCACUAAGUGGGUGGUAAACUCCAUCUAAAACUAAAUAUAACCAUGAGACCGAUAGUAAACAAGUACCGUGAGGGAAAGUUGAAAAGAACUCUGAAUAGAGAGUUAAAUAGUACGUGAAACUGCUUAGAGGUUAAGCCCGAUGAACCUGAAUAUCCAUUAUAGAAAAUUCAUCAUUAUGAUUUUAAUAUUUAUAAUAUUAUAAUAAUGGUGUGCAUUUUUUCUAUAACGGACAUUGUAAUCUAUUAACAUAAAUUAAUUUAUCAUAAGAUCAAUGAUGCGUAAGUUUAUUCAAAUUAUUUUGCUUGCAAUUUAACAUAGAAUAAAUGCUCUUGAUUUGAUAAAGUGUUGAUAGAUUUAUUGUAUAUAGUGCUUAAAUAUUUAUAUUUUAUAAUAGCAUAUUAAUCAUUGAUUUUUAUGUUUAUUAUAUGCACUUAUAUGAUUAACAAUGCGAAAGAUUCAGGAUACCUUCGGGACCCGUCUUGAAACACGGACCAAGGAGUCUAACAUAUUUGCAAGUUAUUGGGUAUCAAAACCUAAUAGCGAAAUUAACAUAACUUUAAUGGGAUUAGUUUUUAGAUUAUUUAUAGUCUAUUAAUUCAAUCCCGGGGCGUUCUAUAUAGUUAUGUAUAAUAAUAUUUAUAUUAUUUAUACCUCUAACUAGAGCGUACCUUGAGCAUAUAUGCUGUGACCCGAAAGAUGGUGAACUAUACUUGAUCAGGUUGAAGUCAGGGGAAACCCUGAUGGAAGACCGAAACAGUUCUGACGUGCAAAUCGAUUGUCAGAAUUGAGUAUA